GGCAGGCUUAACACAUGCAAGUCGAGCGCCCCGCAGGGAGCGGCAGACGGGUGAGUAACGCGUGGGAAUCUACCCAUCUCUACGGAACAACUCCGGGAAACUGGAGCUAAUACCGUAUACGUCCUUCGGGAGAAAGAUUUAUCGGAGAUGGAUGAGCCCGCGUUGGAUUAGCUAGUUGGUGGGGUAAUGGCCUACCAAGGCGACGAUCCAUAGCUGGUCUGAGAGGAUGAUCAGCCACACUGGGACUGAGACACGGCCCAGACUCCUACGGGAGGCAGCAGUGGGGAAUAUUGGACAAUGGGCGCAAGCCUGAUCCAGCCAUGCCGCGUGAGUGAUGAAGGCCCUAGGGUUGUAAAGCUCUUUCAACGGUGAAGAUA
RNAcentral lists this ribosomal RNA (377 nucleotides) under Mesorhizobium sp. CaGH9. Its description in RNAcentral is "bacterial SSU rRNA". It matches the Rfam family "Bacterial small subunit ribosomal RNA", at positions 41 to 450 of the family's 1533-position model. Lineage: Bacteria; Pseudomonadati; Pseudomonadota; Alphaproteobacteria; Hyphomicrobiales; Phyllobacteriaceae. The record is from RNAcentral.